This is a non-coding RNA of Acanthosepion pharaonis, 114 nucleotides long. The record is from the annotation of a GenBank genome assembly. Lineage: Eukaryota; Metazoa; Mollusca; Cephalopoda; Sepiida; Sepiidae.
UUACGGCUAUAUCAGGUUUAAACACCGGUUCUCACACGAUCACCGAAGUUAAGUAGCGUUGAGCCUGGUCAGUAGAUGGGUAAGUGACCGCUUGGAAAUAUCAGGUGCUGUAAG